RNAcentral lists this ribosomal RNA (281 nucleotides) under uncultured prokaryote. RNAcentral describes it as "partial 16S ribosomal RNA". It matches the Rfam family "Bacterial small subunit ribosomal RNA", at positions 524 to 803 of the family's 1533-position model. The record is from RNAcentral.
UACGUAGGGGGCUAGCGUUAUCCGGAAUUACUGGGCGUAAAGGGUGCGUAGGUGGUUUCUUAAGUCAGAGGUGAAAGGCUACGGCUCAACCGUAGUAAGCCUUUGAAACUGAGAAACUUGAGUGCAGGAGAGGAGAGUAGAAUUCCUAGUGUAGCGGUGAAAUGCGUAGAUAUUAGGAGGAAUACCAGUUGCGAAGGCGGCUCUCUGGACUGUAACUGACACUGAGGCACGAAAGCGUGGGGAGCAAACAGGAUUAGAUACCCUGGUAGUCCCUGAGCGGG